CCCUGGUGCAGGAGGCGGCCGAGGGAAAACGCCAAAAACAGGCCCGGCUGGAGGCGCUGCAGGAGGCCCGGCGGGAGCUGGAGCAGCGCGUGGGGACGCUCAGGGCGGCCAAGGAGGCGGCGGAGGGACCCGAGCAGGCGGCCCGGGGGGAGCACCGCAGGAAAUGGGGGGAGCAGAGAGCAGCAGCAGCAGCCGCUCAGGACGAGGCCAAAGCGGCCGAAACCUUCACGGAGCUCGACGGGGACGGGGACGGACGG
This is a long non-coding RNA of Zonotrichia leucophrys gambelii, 257 nucleotides long. RefSeq lists it as uncharacterized. The record is from RefSeq and is a predicted model, not a curated record. NCBI's taxonomy places the organism in Eukaryota, Metazoa, Chordata, Aves, Passeriformes, Passerellidae. The transcript has 3 exons.